GUGAGGAAUAUUGCGCAAUGGAGGCAACUCUGACGCAGCCAUGCCGCGUGCAGGAAGAAGGCGCUACGCGUUGUAAACUGCUUUUAACCGGGAAGAAACCCCAGGACGUGUCCUGGGUUGACGGUACCGGAGGAAUAAGCACCGGCUAACUUCGUGCCAGCAGCCGCGGUAAUACGAAGGGUGCAAGCGUUAUCCGGAUUCAUUGGGUUUAAAGGGUGCGUAGGCGGAGCGUUAAGUCAGUGGUGAAAUCCUGCAGCUUAACUGUAGACUUGCCAUUGAUACUGGCGCUCUUGAGUGCGCUUGAAGUGGGCGGAAUGUGCCGUGUAGCGGUGAAAUGCUUAGAUAUGGCACAGAACACCAAUUGCGAAGGCAGCUCACUAAGGCGAUACUGACGCUGAGGCACGAAAGCGUGGGGAUCGAACAGGAUUAGAUACCCUGGUAUCC
RNAcentral lists this ribosomal RNA (444 nucleotides) under uncultured bacterium. RNAcentral describes it as "bacterial SSU rRNA". It matches the Rfam family "Bacterial small subunit ribosomal RNA", at positions 354 to 795 of the family's 1533-position model. The record is from RNAcentral.